Molecule: ribosomal RNA, 513 nt
Filed under: uncultured bacterium
Lineage: Bacteria
Description: partial 16S ribosomal RNA
Rfam family: Bacterial small subunit ribosomal RNA
Source: RNAcentral
GAUGAACGCUGGCGGCGUGCCUAAUACAUGCAAGUCGAGCGAACAGAUAAGGAGCUUGCUCCUUUGUCGUUAGCGGCGGACGGGUGAGUAACACGUGGAUAACCUACCUAUAAGACUGUGAUAACUUCGGGAAACCGGAGCUAAUACCGGAUAACAUAUUGAACCGCAUGGUUCAAUAGUGAAAGGCGGCUUUGCUGUCACUUAUAGAUGGAUCCGCGCCGUAUUAGCUAGUUGGUAAGGUAACGGCUUACCAAGGCAACGAUACGUAGCCGACCUGAGAGGGUGAUCGGCCACACUGGAACUGAGACACGGUCCAGACUCCUACGGGAGGCAGCAGUAGGGAAUCUUCCGCAAUGGGCGAAAGCCUGACGGAGCAACGCCGCGUGAGUGAUGAAGGUCUUCGGAUCGUAAAACUCUGUUAUCAGGGAAGAACAAAUGUGUAAGUAACUGUGCACAUCUUGACGGUACCUGAUCAGAAAGCCACGGCUAACUACGUGCCAGCAGCCGCAGUAA